This 379-nucleotide ribosomal RNA is filed under the name uncultured eukaryote. RNAcentral's name for it is "partial 18S ribosomal RNA". It matches the Rfam family "Eukaryotic small subunit ribosomal RNA", at positions 591 to 976 of the family's 1831-position model. The record is from RNAcentral.
CCAAUAGCGUAUAUUUAAGUUGUUGCAGUUAAAAAGCUCGUAGUUGGAUUUCGGGUGGGACGCAGCGGUCUCGCAUUGCGUUUGUACUGCUGCAGCCCUCCUUCUUGCCGGGGGCGGCCUCUCGGACUUCACUGUCUGGGGGUCAGAAUCGGCGAUGUUACUUUGAGUAAAUUAGAGUGUUCAAAGCAAGCUUACGCUCUGAAUAUAAUAGCAUGGGAUAACACGACAGGACUCUGGCCUAUCGUGUUGGUCUAUAGGACCAGAGUAAUGAUUAAGAGGGACAGUCGGGGGCAUUCGUAUUCCGUUGUCAGAGGUGAAAUUCUUGGAUUUACGGAAGACGAACAUCUGCGAAAGCAUUUGCCAAGGAUGUUUUCAUUGA